This 584-nucleotide ribosomal RNA is filed under the name uncultured bacterium. Its description in RNAcentral is "bacterial SSU rRNA". It matches the Rfam family "Bacterial small subunit ribosomal RNA", at positions 44 to 626 of the family's 1533-position model. The record is from RNAcentral.
GCGCCUAAUACAUGCAAGUCGAGCGUACCCUUCGGGGUUAGCGGCGGACGGGUGAGUAACACGUAGGUAACCUGCCUGUAAGAUCGGGAUAACUACCGGAAACGGUAGCUAAGACCGGAUAAUUGUCUUCCUCGCAUGAGGGAGAUAUGAAACACGGAGAAAUCUGUGGCUUACAGAUGGACCUGCGGCGCAUUAGCUAGUUGGUGAGGUAAUGGCUCACCAAGGCGACGAUGCGUAGCCGACCUGAGAGGGUGAUCGGCCACACUGGGACUGAGACACGGCCCAGACUCCUACGGGAGGCAGCAGUAGGGAAUCUUCCGCAAUGGACGCAAGUCUGACGGAGCAACGCCGCGUGAGUGAUGAAGGUUUUCGGAUCGUAAAGCUCUGUUGCCCUAGACGAACAGCAAGGGGAGUAACUGCCCUUUGUGUGACGGUAUAGGAGAAGAAAGCCCCGGCUAACUACGUGCCAGCAGCCGCGGUAAUACGUAGGGGGCAAGCGUUGUCCGGAAUUAUUGGGCGUAAAGCGCGCGCAGGCGGUUCGUUAAGUCUGAUGGUAAAGCCCGGGGCUCAACCCCGGUGUUCAU